RNAcentral lists this ribosomal RNA (468 nucleotides) under uncultured bacterium. RNAcentral describes it as "partial 16S ribosomal RNA". It matches the Rfam family "Bacterial small subunit ribosomal RNA", at positions 28 to 507 of the family's 1533-position model. The record is from RNAcentral.
GACGAACGCUGGCGGCGUGCUUAACGCAUGCAAGUCGAACGGAAAGGCCCUGCUUUUGUGGGGUGCUCGAGUGGCGAACGGGUGAGUAACACGUGAGUAACCUGCCCUUGACUUUGGGAUAACUUCAGGAAACUGGGGCUAAUACCGGAUAGGAGCUCCUGCUGCAUGGUGGGGGUUGGAAAGUUUCGGCGGUUGGGGAUGGACUCGCGGCUUAUCAGCUUGUUGGUAGGGUAGUGGCUUACCAAGGCUUUGACGGGUAGCCGGCCUGAGAGGGUGACCGGCCACAUUGGGACUGAGAUACGGCCCAGACUCCUACGGGAGGCAGCAGUGGGGAAUAUUGCACAAUGGGCGGAAGCCUGAUGCAGCAACGCCGCGUGCGGGAUGACGGCCUUCGGGUUGUAAACCGCUUUCGCCUGUGACGAAGCGUGAGUGACGGUAAUGGGUAAAGAAGCACCGGCUAACUACGUG